Molecule: ribosomal RNA, 563 nt
Filed under: uncultured bacterium
Lineage: Bacteria
Description: partial 16S ribosomal RNA
Rfam family: Bacterial small subunit ribosomal RNA
Source: RNAcentral
UGGGGAAUAUUGGACAAUGGGCGCAAGCCUGAUCCAGCCAUGCCGCGUGAGUGAUGAAGGCCUUAGGGUUGUAAAGCUCUUUCGCCGACGAAGAUAAUGACGGUAGUCGGAGAAGAAGCCCCGGCUAACUUCGUGCCAGCAGCCGCGGUAAUACGAAGGGGGCUAGCGUUGUUCGGAAUCACUGGGCGUAAAGCGCACGUAGGCGGAUUGUUAAGUCAGGGGUGAAAGCCUGGAGCUCAACUCCAGAACUGCCCUUGAUACUGGCAAUCUCGAGUCCGGAAGAGGUAAGUGGAACUGCGAGUGUAGAGGUGAAAUUCGUAGAUAUUCGCAAGAACACCAGUGGCGAAGGCGGCUUACUGGUCCGGUACUGACGCUGAGGUGCGAAAGCGUGGGGAGCAAAACAGGAUUAGAUACCCUGGUAGUCCACGCCGUAAACGAUGGAGGCUAGCCGUUGGCGAGCAUGCUCGUCAGUGGCGCAGCUAACGCAUUAAGCCUCCCGCCUGGGGGAGUACGGUCGCAAGAUUAAAAACUUAAAGGAAUUGACGGGGUCAUAGCUGUUUCCU